This 252-nucleotide ribosomal RNA is filed under the name uncultured bacterium. Its description in RNAcentral is "partial 16S ribosomal RNA". It matches the Rfam family "Bacterial small subunit ribosomal RNA", at positions 524 to 776 of the family's 1533-position model. The record is from RNAcentral.
UACGUAGGGGGCAAGCGUUGUCCGGAUUUAUUGGGCGUAAAGAGCGUGUAGGCGGCUUGGUAGGUCUCGCGUCAAAACCUGAGGCUCAACCUCAGUUCGCGUGGGAAACCGCCUAGCUAGAGUCCGGAAGAGGAGAACGGAAUUCCCAGUGUAGCGGUGAAAUGCGCAGAUAUUGGGAAGAACACCAGUGGCGAAGGCGGUUCUCUGGGACGGUACUGACGCUGAGACGCGAAAGCGUGGGGAGCGAACAGG